GAGAGAGAGAGAGAGAGAGAGAGACAGCGUGAGAGGAGGACGUUUCGUGUCACACGUGUGAAUUCCCACCUACCUUCCAGUAAGGACGUGACCCACAGGAGAGGAGCUCUACCUUCCUGGGUGCCAGCUCUGGAAAGCGGCUGAUUCCAGGCAGGACAGCUUUUCUCAGUGUCCUCCCUGCGGAUCACUGCGAUUUGUGAUUCCUCAGAAAUGCCUGUGCCAGGGCAGCCAGACGAAGGGAAUCUCUGAGGAAGCUCCCCAAAUGCUGCCGCAGCUUCCACCCUCCAGAGUGGGGCCACUCAAUUCCCAUUGACUUCAGCCUUGACUUCCUCUGUUGUUCAGGACAAUAAAAGCUGAUGAUUUUAUUUAUUUAAAAAAUAUUCAUUUAUUUUUGAAUCAUACUUAACAUGGUCCAAAUUUAAAAGGUUUCUGUGUCUUCCGUUUCUGGCCUAGGUUCCAUGGUCCACCACUUCAGCCUGUCAUCUCCCUUGACCUCUGGUCCUUUAGUGCAGCUUACCCAGAAGAACCUCAAAGCAAACUCUUCCUCCUCUGCCCCACUUCCCAGACUGCUGAGCCCAUAAAGGUAGUAAAGAGGAAGUCAGAUUCCGAGCUUGAGAAAGAGUUGAUGUGCUGUUCGUGGUGGCUUUAUUUUAAAAUGAAGGGGCCAUAUGGCAAGGAAUUUGGCAGCUUCUCAGAGCUGAAAGCAAUCCCUCGCCGACAGCCAGCAAGAAAAUGGGCACCUCAGUCCUACACUUGCAAGGAAAUCAGUUCUGCUAAGAGUCGCAAUGACCCUGGACGUGCAUUCUUCUCUAGAGCCUUCAGGUAAUAGCCUAGCCCUGCCCACACCUUAUUUUGGUAUUAUGAAGUGCUAAGCAGUGAACCCAGUCUAGUCUACCCAGAUUUCUGACCCACAGACCUGUGAGAUAAUAAAUGGGUAUUAUUUUUCACUUUUUAAAAAAUUCAUAAACUUUUACAGCAGAUUUAGGUUCACAACAGAACUAAACAGAAAGUACAGAGGUUUCCCAAAGAUCUUCUGUCCCCAAGCACCCACAACACUCCCUUCCCCACAACUAUCAACACCACAAU
Equus quagga is the source of this 1086-nucleotide long non-coding RNA. RefSeq lists it as uncharacterized. The record is from RefSeq and is a predicted model, not a curated record. The transcript is spliced from 3 exons. Lineage: Eukaryota; Metazoa; Chordata; Mammalia; Perissodactyla; Equidae.